AUGGAGAAAGCACAGAGAAAGGAAGGAUUAUUCACAAAGUUGAUUAAAAUCACUCAAGAUGCUCCUCCUCAGCUCUGCUGCCUCAAAUUUUUUCAAAUGCUUCAAAAGUCUUACUCUCUGGGAUUAGGAGCCAUCUCGAAGAGGUGGGUCCGCCAUUUUCCUGGAAGAGAAGAUGCCCAAUGGAAUACCACCCACGGACUCUUAUCUUGAAGUAUACAGCGACUUUCUUUUGUUUUGGAUUCUGACCUAAGAAUAGUAUCAUUUAACCUACACUGAACCCUAUUCAAUAUGUCAAACAUUAAUACUUUAAAGGGUCAAACUGGUUCAAGCAAAUCAAAUAUUAUGUGGAAACAGAGUCAUUGGGUGGGGGAAAGCCUUCAUCAGUGUCAUUAACAAGUAGAUCCAAUCAUUCCCCCAUUAGCAGGCAGGGAUGGGGCUAAUAAGUGGAUAGGUGAAACUGAGGAGCCAUGGACAGUGUGCCUCCGACCUUCUAGUUGUUUUGCUUCAAGUUACCUAACCAGAAGAUACUUUCAGCGGUCAGUUUAUUUUGGGGUUCAGGAUGUGAGCACAGGAAAUGGCCAGAAAAACAGUGGCUCAGUAUAGACAGAAAGACAAUUAAAACUGAUAUGACUCUUAACAGAAGUGGCAAGAGCAGGCAGGAUGGAAGUAAUUUAUUCAACGAAUUGUCCAAAUACAUAAAACCACACUGAUGUAUGGUGCAGCAGUGGGACAGUGGAAAAUUUGAUCGUUGUUUCCGUUGUGUGAAUUACUCAGGCAGGAUGCCUUUGUGAAGUAUGGGGGUUUGUUUAAUGUUCUGACAACAAUUUAGAUCCUGUUAUGGUUAUUGCAGUGUAAUGCAGUAGUAAAAAUUGAACAUGACACACCAGCAAUUUAUUAUUUGUGUGUUUUUUAACCUUGAGUAUCGGAUUGUUUGUCCAAGCAUAUCCUUUGAUUUGCUAUGAAAUUUAUUGUUGAUAAAAACAAUCAGAUUUCCAUUAGAAGCAAAAAAAUUCAUUUUUUUUUGCCAUGAACCAUAGAUUUAGAAAAAAAAUUCAAACUAGGCUCCAGGACUUAUGAC
This 1078-nucleotide long non-coding RNA is filed under the name Monodelphis domestica (gray short-tailed opossum). Its description in RNAcentral is "lncRNA (ENSMODG00000049372.1)". The record is from RNAcentral. Lineage: Eukaryota; Metazoa; Chordata; Mammalia; Didelphimorphia; Didelphidae.